RNAcentral lists this long non-coding RNA (472 nucleotides) under Pan troglodytes (chimpanzee). Its description in RNAcentral is "long non-coding RNA NONPTRT010687". Lineage: Eukaryota; Metazoa; Chordata; Mammalia; Primates; Hominidae. The record is from RNAcentral.
UUGUAGUAAAUCAAUAAGCCUCAACAAUAGGUAGGUUCUGUAAUUAUCUCCACUUUUCAGAGGGGAACCCUGACACCAAAGAGGAGAAGUGAGUUGUCCAAGGUCACAAAGAACCUUGAGACAGUGAGAAAGCCAGGACCCACACGUGGGCGGCCAGCUGCAAGCUCAUGCUGUGCCCUCACCAGCUCCCAGAACAUGCAUGGGGAGCCUAGCCUUGCUGCUUACCUUUGAUGUUGAUCUGCACUCCCUUGGACACGCUCAGCCCUUUGUCAUUGUGGGCCUCACAACUGAAGACCGCCAUCUCCGUCAGGCCUGGAAUGGAAGGAGACUCAUGAGACCAGCAGCAGAGAAACAGGCUGCUGUUCACUACAAUUCUAUGGUUGUCUUUGCAUUAUUUUACUUCUUGGUUCAUGGCUUUUGGGCAUUAGUGCAAAGUUAAUUUAAAAGGUGUGCUAGCUAUGGAGAAACAAAC